AAACAGCUCCAAACGCUGUAUUACAUCCCUCCUCCUUUCACCCUACCCCUCGCGAAAUCUUUCUCCGAUCUUGUCUUGGAAAAUAUUUAUAAAUCGUUUAUUGCAAAUAACAGUGGGAACAAGUUAGGUUAGGUUAGAGUGAAAAUAUAAUAUAUACACGGUUUGGAUGGAUGUUUUUUUCGUGGAUGUAAGGAGAGUUAAUUUUGAUGAUUUUUCGUUGAUGGCGUGGAACCAUUUUUCUUCUGGUAGUGGGUUGACUGAUCGAUGGUUGGGUCAGGUUAUUGUUUACGAGGUCGGCUGACUGCUUCCGGCACGAUCAGCUGAUUUCGAGUGGGGGUGGGGUUUCGAGUGAUGUAAGAAGGUUGGUCGGUUUUGAGUAACGAGGUUUGAGUACUGUUGUGGUAAUUAGACUGAUAUUGAGAAAUGGAUGGGAAGAAAGAGAUUUCUUUUUUUAGGAUUAGUAGUAGUAUCAGUCGUGUCAUAUUUUUAUGAUAUAGUAUAAUUGAAAAAUCUUAUGCAAUGGUAUUUUAUAAUAGACGAUGUUUGUUUGGCUGUGAGAUUGUGUAAGAUGUUUAAAAAGAUAAAGUGUGCUUCUCUUGAUUAUUUUUCAAUUUAAACGCGUAUGAGAAAUUAUAAUAAAUAUAAAACAAUUAUUGUAUACGAAAAAUAUUAUAAAUAUUUCAAUUUCAAGGAAAUAAAUGACAGAUUUUGGAAUUAAGAUUAAAUUUAACAUGAAACUGAAUCUAUGUACAUUGUGCAUUUUGUGUUAUUAAGUAGUUAUUCUUAGAUAAUUACUUAAUUAUGAUCUUUAGAUUAAGUAGAGGAAGUGACACCUCGAUGGAUGCUUUAAUUUAUGGAUCGAUGAUACUUAAUGCUCUUUACAUUUGAUCUUUUAUUACCAUGUACAUAUUUAGCAUCAUCUGUAUGACUGUAUAAUCUAAAUACUGAGCAGAUACAAUUAUUACUUGCUUAAAUUAAAAAUUCUACAAUCUACUAUCGAUUGUCAAGCUACAAAUUUUCAUGCUAAUUCAUAUUUAUAUAAAAAAAAACUUUUAAAAAAACUUGAAAGAAGAAUUUAUAUAGACGAGAACGAAAAUUUUAAUUAACUCCACGUCCUCGUAUAUAAAUAAACGUAACCAAUCAACCGUAUUUAUUAUACAAGUAGCAUUUCAUCGAUUCGUUAAUGGAUUGUUAACUAUCGAAGAUUAACGAUCGAAACUUCGUCGUUGGAACGUUCGCAGAUUUUAAGUUCGUGCAACUUAACUCAAGACGUGAUAUUGUGGAUGCCUUCUGGCACUCCUUUAAUUCGACUGCGCGAGACAGAUACGCUUUGUUGGCACACACAGAGGGAGUCAAUGUCGAACGGAUUGAAGGAACAAUAAAGGGGAGAUUAUUCGUCCGUUGACAUUGCUUUAGAACGAUGCAAUUUAACGAAUUCUCGAGAAGAAUUUGAAAUUGUUUAAGAUAUUAUAUUUUGCGAAAAGAUUAUGAUAGAAAAGAUUAUGAAGAUUAUAUUAUGUUAUUUAUGAUUGGGUAUAAAUAAAAUAUUUAUAUCUUUUUAAUUGAAAUAUAAAUGGUAUAUUAAAAACUUACCCUCUUAAACACUGAACAUUAAUUAUUGAUUCUCUUAUACUCUCUAUUCUCUUAUUCUCUUAUAUUUGAAUGUUAUUUCGAGCUCUGAUACUUUGAAAUUUGUUUAUUUUCUAAUGAAAUGUUCUUUUUGAAAAUAUAUAUAUAUUGGUUUUAAAUAUAUGUUUUAUUAAAUAUGUUAAUUUUAUAUA
Molecule: long non-coding RNA, 1781 nt
Organism: Apis cerana (Asiatic honeybee)
Lineage: Eukaryota; Metazoa; Arthropoda; Insecta; Hymenoptera; Apidae
Source: RefSeq, a predicted model, not a curated record